RNAcentral lists this ribosomal RNA (440 nucleotides) under uncultured bacterium. RNAcentral describes it as "partial 16S ribosomal RNA". It matches the Rfam family "Bacterial small subunit ribosomal RNA", at positions 338 to 795 of the family's 1533-position model. The record is from RNAcentral.
CCUACGGGAGGCAGCAGUGGGGAAUAUUGCACAAUGGGGGAAACCCUGAUGCAGCGACGCCGCGUGAGUGAAGAAGUAUCUCGGUACGUAAAGCUCUAUUAGCAGGGAAGAAAAUGACGGUACCUGACUAAGAAGCCCCGGCUAACUACGUGCCAGCAGCCGCGGUAAUACGUAGGGGGCAAGCGUUAUCCGGAUUUACUGGGUGUAAAGGGAGCGUAGACGGCAGCACAAGUCUGGAGUGAACUCCCGGGGCUUAACCCCGGAACUGCUUUGGAAACUGUGCGGCGGGAGUGCAGGAGGGGUAGGCGGAAUUCCUGGUGUAGCGGUGAAAUGCGUAGAUAUUAGGAAGAACACCGGUGGCGAAGGCAGCUUACUGGACUGUAACUGACGUUGAGGCUCGAAAGCGUGGGGAGCAAACAGGAUUAGAUACCCCAGUAGUC